GACGAACGCUGGCGGCGUGCUUAACACAUGCAAGUCGAACGGAAAGGCCCUGCUUUUGUGGGGUGCUCGAGUGGCGAACGGGUGAGUAACACGUGAGUAACCUGCCCUUGACUUUGGGAUAACUUCAGGAAACUGGGGCUAAUACCGGAUAGGAGCUCCUGCUGCAUGGUGGGGGUUGGAAAGUUUCGGCGGUUUGGGAUGGACUCGCGGCUUAUCAGCUUGUUGGUGGGGUAGUGGCUUACCAAGGCUUUGACGGGUAGCCGGCCUGAGAGGGUGACCGGCCACAUUGGGACUGCGAUACGGCCCAGACUCCUACGGGAGGCAGCAGUGGGGAAUAUUGCACAAUGGGCGGAAGCCUGAUGCAGCAACGCCGCGUGCGGGAUGACGGCCUUCGGGUUGUAAACCGCUUUCGCCUGUGACGAAGCGUGAGUGACGGUAAUGGGUAAAGAAGCACCGGCUAACUACGUG
RNAcentral lists this ribosomal RNA (468 nucleotides) under uncultured bacterium. RNAcentral's name for it is "partial 16S ribosomal RNA". It matches the Rfam family "Bacterial small subunit ribosomal RNA", at positions 28 to 507 of the family's 1533-position model. The record is from RNAcentral.